Clupea harengus (Atlantic herring) is the source of this 999-nucleotide long non-coding RNA. RefSeq lists it as uncharacterized. The transcript has 2 exons. Lineage: Eukaryota; Metazoa; Chordata; Actinopteri; Clupeiformes; Clupeidae. The record is from RefSeq and is a predicted model, not a curated record.
GGUUAUGCAGUUUCCACUUGAACUGACAUAGCCUAUAAUUAUACCUAUUAGAAAAGGGAUGAAACGGUUGUUCAAAUUUCAUUCAAUAAUAAGGCCAUGGGUGCUUGAAAAGUCAUGGAUCAGUUUUGCAAAAGUUGGGAACACUACCGAUAGAUAUGCCCCAUUGUGCCAAUAUUCGGAGAACCAAUGAUGUCAUGUGAUAUCACAAUGCUAGUAUUUAUUGGUCACAUUUUAGUCACGUGAUUGAGGUAUGGAUGUCUUGUAGGCCUUGUCGUGUUGCUACGGACGCACAUUCUCAGGUUUCUGAACUGACCCAGCCUAGCUGCAUUUGGAGGGUAGGCAACCGAUAGUGUUUUUUUUUUUUUUUUUUCAUUUUUAUGGCUAUGGCCAUGGCAAAGUCAAAAACCGAUGCACUGUGUGCCUUAAACGUGCGGAGAGAGAAUUGGUGUCGAAUUGAGGCUGGCAGCGAAUUCUGGCAACGACCCGAGAAAAGGCACUUCGUUUGUCAUCUUCAGAACACCCGCGAUCUUGGAGCCCAGCAAACAGUUCCGACAGUGGAGAGAACCAGCUGGAUGAAACGCACUCCUCGUGCCCGUAUCAUCGAACGCAGACACUUCGACGAGAGCUAUAAAUCCCAUUUGGUGUGACGAAGAUGACGGAUUCACACAUAUUUGUUAUAUAAAUAGGUUACCAAAUAUAUUCAGAUAGUCUGCUAUUUUAUUCAUCUUUAGGUCUAUUCAACAGGUUUUGGUAACAAUGUAAGCAAUACGAUCACAAAUAUGUGAUUUGUACUCCCUUUACCUGUACUGAUAUGUGAAGACGUGGGUCUGAUUAUGUUGGAACAUAGGGUAUAAUGUACUAAAAACCUUUAAGUAUCUAUGUAACUUGAAAACCGACGGUUUGACUGUUCAGUGGAUUUGCCUGUUAUGAAUGAAGGUUUGAUGAUGUAAUAAUGAACUCAAGGCAAAUGGCUGUUAAUAAAACUAAAUCUGCACUGUA